This 236-nucleotide long non-coding RNA is filed under the name Homo sapiens (human). Its description in RNAcentral is "non-protein coding lnc-MCUB-3:1". The record is from RNAcentral. Lineage: Eukaryota; Metazoa; Chordata; Mammalia; Primates; Hominidae.
AAAGGAAUAUCCUUCUCUAUUUACCAUUAAAAUUCUAUCAAAGUGGGAGGCCCAAUGGAUAACAGGAGUAUUCCUGGAAGCCAUUCCUACGUGGGCAUGGCUAGCAAUAUCUUAACAAUACAUAGAAAUGACCAUGAACCACACAAAAAUAUCCCACUAAACCCAAAGUAAAUGUAUCUCGCUGGAGGUAAGAAUGGAGAGUGAGGCAAAUGAGCCUGAGGAAUCUUUCUAGAGUG